This 72-nucleotide transfer RNA is filed under the name Gemmata algarum. RNAcentral describes it as "tRNA-Ser". It matches the Rfam family "tRNA". From Rfam's summary of the family: Transfer RNA (tRNA) molecules are approximately 80 nucleotides in length. Their secondary structure includes four short double-helical elements and three loops (D, anti-codon, and T loops). The record is from RNAcentral. Lineage: Bacteria; Pseudomonadati; Planctomycetota; Planctomycetia; Gemmatales; Gemmataceae.
GCGCCAGUCGUCUAAUGAGUAAGACGCCGCUUUGCUAAAGCGGAGACGGGAGUGCAAUUCUCCCCCGGCGCG